ACAAAUGGAACCAUGUCGAUUUGCAUAACAGAAAAAAGGAAUAGCAAAUUUAAGUCUCAAGAAGUAAACAAGCUUUCAUUAACUUUAUGAAACCAGAGAAGGUAACACACUUCACAUAUCGUAGCUAUUUUGCCAACAAAGUUCAGAAAAUAUAUGCUGCAUGUGUAAUUGAAGAGCCAUUGUUUUCAAGUGAUCCUAAUCCACUUAAUACUAAAUAUUUUGCUCCUACCAAAUUAGAUAUUUCUGAUGUAAGAUCAGACUAAGCCGCAACCAUAGUGUAUACUUAUAAUUUAAAUUAUAAGAAAUUAUUCUAACACUAAAAGCUACGCCUAACAACUAGGCUCUGAUACCACUCACUGGGAAAAUUGCUAUUUUCCCAGAUCGGCUUCAAGCAGUAACAAAUGAGAAAAUAAAAAUAAUGACUGAGAAAUUAAACAGAACACGGUAGUUUAACGUGGAAAACUCUCCAAGUAGAGAAAAACCCCCGACCGUUGCCAAAUGACAACAAAAAAAAAAUUUACUAUGCGGCAAAUUGUUACAACCACAAUUACAAAAUAUUUUUCUACCCGACACCCUCAAAACACCCCAAAUAUUUUAUACUCCAAAGGACACCAAAAGACUUACAAUAAAUCCCUAAUAUAAAACACAUUCAAGUGUUUUUAGAAACCUAAACUGUGGCUUCUUUUUAUAGCCAAUUCAAACACCCUCAAAACUCAAUCUUCCCGACGUGGAAUUGAGCACAACCAAUUUUUUUUCAUAUUUUUUUUUCUUUUGUUUUCAACAAAGGAGGCUAACAAUAUCCAUUACAACUACUUUUUGGUACUUUUUUACAGAAAAAAAUAUAACAAAUUACAAAAAAUCAGAAACAAACUAGUUAAUAUAAAAUUGUCGUAAGGUGAAUGGGAUUGCUGGUUACUUAGUUACCUAUGAAGAUUUUCAGUUGUUUGGAGUUCAGGUGCUUCAAGAUCAGCCUCCUGGUGUUCGACAACUUUUACAUCCUAAUUUAUUUGGGGCUAUCUGGUCUCGUGUAAUUAUUUAAAGGGUUUGAAUUCCCUCAUUUGCAGUUAAAAAAAAAUAUUGAGAUGAAAUAGUUAAUUUCCCAAAAUAAUAUUACGAGUAUCGAGGGGAGGGUAAAAAAAAAAAUUAGUUUAACGAUUGCAAAAUAUAGGGAAUAUUAAUGUAUGUUUUGACGAAGUUAUCAGAAAAAAGCACUAAUUUUUCCUAAUAAUUAUUAACAAUAGCUGUCGUUUUGCAUGAGCCUGCCGUGUAAUGAUGAGUUACACAUCGGAAAAGUAGUAACUGUCGUUGUUCUGGAAGCAAUAGCAUACGCAAAAGUGAAACACACAAAUGGGCUUAUGCCCAUUUAAGGGCCCAUUUAAAAUAGACAGAGAACAAAGUACUAAAUUGGAAACAAAAUGUAUUAUUAGUAAUAUGAAAAAAACAAAACAGACAAAUUAAGGACAAGGACUUACUGAAACAUGUUUAUCGAAUCUUAACUCCCAUAAUAGCACAAAUCAGCUCUACUUGAGCAAAUGUAUAGUAAGUAUUCUAUAGCUAACAAGAAACAACUAGGAAAAGAAUUACAUACAAGCAUCACAUCUGAUGACCAGCACGCAUGAACCAAUGAAACUGAGAUGUCCAACUUUCAGAAGUUCUUAGCCGUUUCAUGCCACUACUUUCCAAAUCAUACAUGCUUGCAUGCUUAAAUCCACACCAAAUAUCAGAACAUCCUUCAAAGGAAUCAUGAAUAUAGUAUAUGCAAUUAGAUCUUGGAAGUUCUGCUCCUUUUGGGCUCAUAUUAUUCCCUGUUUUCGAUGAUGAUACUGAUAUGCAACCAUCAUAACCAAGAAACAGUGCUUCAUUGCCCAAAGUUUCAAUCUUUUUCAAUUCUUUAGUACCCAAAUCAACUUUAUACACAUCAAAUGAUGUUCCAAUUCCAUCUUCUCUACCACCACCACCAUCAUCAUCAUCAAUUACCCACUUCCAUUUUCUAUUAAUCAUCAAGAAAUCACCAGAUAAUGACUCCACUAGGUACUUUUCCAUUUGGUUAAGAUGAAAUGGAGGUUCAAGAGCUACAACUGUCUUUGGAUUUGGUCCAAGAUCGCAACCAUAAAUUUUGCCUUUAAUAUCAGUGGCAUAAAAUUGACCCUUAAAGAACAUAAUAUCAUCAAAAGAAACUUCCUGCAAAUCCUGUAAAGAUUUCCAUUCUUCAUCCCCUGGUCUACAGAAGGCUAAUUUCCUUUCUAAAUCCAGCCCAUAAAUGACCAAAACAAUGCAAUUUGGAUCUAAAGGGCUUAAUGAUGAUGUAAUGCACCUCUUUACAAAACCCUCAGUUUGUUUAAUUAUUUGGCAAUUGAAUUUAGGGAAUUUACUUGCUAAUGGAAGCAAGACUUCAGUUCUUGAAAUUGGAUUCCAGAGAUUUACCUUGUAUGGUGAAUAAUAGCCUAUUGUUAGUAACCACCCAUUUGUUGAAUUACAAACCAACCGAUCUUUUGUCUUUGGUAGAAAAAUUUCCUGUGUUUCUCCUGUCAAAAUAUCGCACAAAUUGCCCAUUUCUUCUUCUCUGUUUAGUAUCAGAAGCAAUGGAAAAUGAAUUUGAUCCCAAUAAAAUCGGGUAGCUACUGAUCUCCAACAACUACAGACAUUGCAACACCGAAAAACAUCUAAUGGAUUAUUUAGACGGCUCAAUAUUUGCUCGAGAAGCCCGUUGGGCAUAUCGGACCAAGAAGAAGAAGACGAAGAAAUGGCCAUUGAUGUAUCAAAACAAGUUCUUGAUUUCAGGAUUCAAUUUAUCAAGAAUUUAGGAAAGAGGGGUUUAGGGAGUAUCUGAGAAUUUCUAAUCAUGGAACGCUGACUAAUCUUUAUAUCAGAUCAGACACGAACCAAGAAGAAUAAGAAUUGAAGAAGGGUUUUUAUAGUUAGCUGGAGAUAUGGUACCGGCUCAGUUGGUACUAUCUAAAAGCCCGGUCUUUUAUACCAGGUAACCGAAACUCGAACUGAUUUCUAAUUCUUCUGCACCGAGCACCGAAGCUGAGGUUAAUAUGUCUUUCCUUUCUGUUUCUACUACAAUGACUUCUUUUUAGUGUAAGAAAGAAUCUUGCUGCCUUAUUUUCUUUUUUUUUUUUCCACAAAAAAAUUGCUUCGAAUUGACGAUUUCUUUUUUAUUUGUUAGAUGAGGAUUUCAUUUUCAAAUGGUGCUAAAACUAGCGUUUAUAUUAUUGUUUGGUGUUCAAAUCUAGUUUCUCAAGACAGGAAAAUUUUCCCCUUCACAAUUUUUGGAUAGCAUGCAUGUUUCCAUAUGCCAAUUUCCACUUCGAUUCUAAAUUUUAGACCAUUCUCUUCUUCAUAAGUUGGGAUCGCGGAAAGCCCAAGUCAAAAGUUUAGAUACCAAACAAUGCCAAAUUUGUAUAAUCUAACAGGAAGUAUAAUCACUCCUGCUGGAAACAUCCUCAUCAAAGAAGUUCAACGCUUCAGAAUAAAAAAAGAAGAGUGGUUAAAAACAUACCAACCGUUACAUUUUGCAAGAACAAAUGGAACCAUGUCGAUUUGCAUAACAGAAAAAAGGAAUCGCAAAUUUAAGUCUCAAGAAGCAAACAAGCUUUCAUUAACUUUAUGAAACCAGAGAAGGUACCACACUUCACAUAUCUUAGCUAUUUUGCCAACAAAGUUCAGAAAAUAUAGGCUGCAUGUGUAACUGAAGAGCCAUUGUUUUCCAGUGAUCCUAAUCCACUUAAUACUAAAUAAUUUGCUCCUACCAAAUUAACAAACUCAUCGAGCGAUUACAUUAGGCAAUAGUGCCACCUGUUUGGUGCAGCAUUGCGUCUAUCUCAUCCCCAUCCUCCAUUUCCAACUGCAGCAACAAAAUGUUAGAAAUAGGUUAGAAAGUAGAAACAACAAACUUAAACAAUAGUCUGACCCAUGCAAAUACACUCUAAGAGAGACAAACCUCAUCUGGUGUCUGCUCUCCACGAAGCCGGCGACCAUCAAAUAAAAAUGCAAUAGAGUUGAACUCCACUGACUGUCGAUCACAGUAAGCAUUCAUGAGCUUCUUCAGUUGAGUGCUUCUCUUAAUCCUGAAGAAGACUUCAUUGCCAUCCUACAAAAUGAAGUCAAAUUUCCAGCUCUAACUAAGGCCUUGUUUGCUAUAAUUUUGUGGAAUUCAUUUGAAAUUUCAUCUUUUCAUGUUUGGUAUGAACGAAAAUAUCAAUUUUAGUAGUGUUAUCCUGAUGAAUUCAAUUUUAUAGAAUUCUGCAUAACUAAAGCAAAUACUCCAACCUACCAUGUGUGACAAAGCAUACAUCUAGUUUUCAAAAGGAAAAUCUAGACUAAGUCGAAACUCUCAUAAAAGUUGAACAAAAUAAUAGAAAACAUAGAAGUUUAGUGAUGCAUAAUGAACACUUGCAGUGCCGAAGCCUAUAUGGAUUUUU
RNAcentral lists this long non-coding RNA (4427 nucleotides) under Jatropha curcas. RNAcentral's name for it is "long non-coding RNA (JCUR_LNC001126)". Lineage: Eukaryota; Viridiplantae; Streptophyta; Magnoliopsida; Malpighiales; Euphorbiaceae. The record is from RNAcentral.